RNAcentral lists this long non-coding RNA (210 nucleotides) under Elaeis guineensis (African oil palm). Its description in RNAcentral is "long non-coding RNA (EGUI_LNC071993)". The record is from RNAcentral. Lineage: Eukaryota; Viridiplantae; Streptophyta; Magnoliopsida; Arecales; Arecaceae.
CAGAUGGAAUGUAGGAGUACAUUCGCAUCGAAUGUGAUCAUUUAUCGAGCAUUUUGCUGUCAAGAGUAGCUCAUAAAAAGUAUGGGUAUAAGUGUCCGUCAGACCUAAAAUCAUCAUGGUGACUUGUAAACAACUUAUUGUACUUUAAUAUCAGACCAUCUGAGUUUCUAAUUCAGUGAUGGAAGGAUACUGGAUGCAGUCAAGUGCUUA